GUCAGGUGUGGUGGUGCACACCUGUAAUCCUAGGGGCUUGGGAGGCUGAGGCAGGAGGUUUGCAAGUUCAAAGCCAGCCCCAGCAACUUAGUGAGGCCCUAAGCAACUUAGUGAGACCCUGACUCUA
Molecule: small RNA, 127 nt
Filed under: Marmota monax (woodchuck)
Lineage: Eukaryota; Metazoa; Chordata; Mammalia; Rodentia; Sciuridae
Source: RNAcentral